ACCUGGGUGGCUCAGUCAGUUAAGCAUCUGACUUUGGCUCAGAUCAUGAUCUCAUGGUUUGUAAGUUCAAGUCCCACAUCAGGUU
Molecule: transfer RNA, 85 nt
Organism: Felis catus (domestic cat)
Lineage: Eukaryota; Metazoa; Chordata; Mammalia; Carnivora; Felidae
Rfam family: tRNA
About the family: Transfer RNA (tRNA) molecules are approximately 80 nucleotides in length.
Source: Rfam